This 62-nucleotide transfer RNA is filed under the name Ulomoides dermestoides. RNAcentral describes it as "tRNA-Glu". It matches the Rfam family "tRNA". From Rfam's summary of the family: Transfer RNA (tRNA) molecules are approximately 80 nucleotides in length. Their secondary structure includes four short double-helical elements and three loops (D, anti-codon, and T loops). The record is from RNAcentral. Lineage: Eukaryota; Metazoa; Arthropoda; Insecta; Coleoptera; Tenebrionidae.
GUUUAUAUAGUUUAUAUAAAACAUUACAUUUUCAAUGUAAAAAUGAAUAUCUUCUAUAAAUA